CAGGGACUCUGCCAUGUUCUCCAUU
RNAcentral lists this microRNA (25 nucleotides) under Equus caballus (horse). RNAcentral describes it as "eca-miR-9024". The record is from miRBase by way of RNAcentral. Lineage: Eukaryota; Metazoa; Chordata; Mammalia; Perissodactyla; Equidae.